Molecule: long non-coding RNA, 1331 nt
Filed under: Felis catus (domestic cat)
Lineage: Eukaryota; Metazoa; Chordata; Mammalia; Carnivora; Felidae
Description: lncRNA (ENSFCAG00000049512.1)
Source: RNAcentral
GCUAGCGGAAACAACAAUGUUCUGAACAAGCCCACUGAGUAGGAAAGUUAACAGUUACAAGUAUUACUGUGAGGUGGGCACAGAUUGGUAUAUAUUACAAAGGGAAUGGAGAGAAUUAGUCCAGCCAAGUAGAAAGUGAUUUAAGGUGCUUCUCUUAUAUUCAGGUUCUAGUGGUUCCUACAUCUAGCUCCACUUCCCUGCCAUUACUGAUCAUAUCUCUAUGUAUUCAUUCAUUCUGCCUGAAAAGCAAGCAUUCAGACUCUGAAUAGAUAUUAACUAUUCCAUAAGACUCAAUUUAGACCUCACUUGUCCUAGUGAGCCCUCCUCAAUGCUCCUAUAACACUCUUUGUAUGCCCUCUAUUAUAACACUUUCCACAGUAUACUGAAACUUUACAUCUAUUUGUAAUUCUAUUUUACAUCUAUUUGUAAUUUACAUCUAUUUUUAAUUUCAUAUUAGACAUCAGUAAUUAGGGGGUAGUUUUCAUCUACAUGCUUCUCUUAGCAACUUCCACAAUUUCUGACACAAAGUUCACAGUUAAUAAUUAUUUGUUAAACUGAAAUGUUUGUUCCAUUACCCACCAAGAACAUAAAACUUAAGCAUUCCUUAUUACUUGAGAAUUUUCUAAAUGCAAGAUUUAAACUCUGAAUUCCACCACUCUGACUACAAUGGACUCUUCUUCUACUCCUCUUCCUGCUUCAUCUAAAUCUGCCUCAUUUUAACAUGAAGCCAACUCCUCUUUAUCUUCCUAGUUGAUCACUCUAUUUCUGACUCCACUAAAUUUUCUAAUUCAGUUGAAGUCAAUUAUUUGUAUUCUCCAAAAAGUGGAUUCACUGAAAUGUGCUCUGUCCCUCUUCUCUUUUCCUGAGUCCGACUGUGUGAUACCCCUUGCUUUUCACCUUCCCUCACAAAUGUUAUUUUUAAUUUUUUUUCAACGUUUAUUUAUUUUUUUGGGGACAGAGAGAGACAGAGCAUGAACGGGGAAGGGGCAGAGAGAGAGGGGGACACAGAAUCGGAAACAGGCUCCAGGCUCUGAGCCAUCAGCCCAGAGCCCGACGCGGGGCUCCAACUCACAGACCGCGAGAUCGUGACCUGGCUGAAGUCGGACGCUUAACCGACUGCGCCACCCAGGCGCCCCAAAUCAUGUUAGCUGGAAAAGCUUACAAGACCACACUUGUUGGAACCAAUACAAAUUCUUGGCUUCUAAAGACCCUAUUCUGAAUCAUCUCUCCACUUGCUUUGGAAGACUCCUUACAGACAUAGUAAUAUGGUCUCAACUGCCUUUCUGCUGAUCUGAGAAGUGAAACAAAGAAGCAUAUGACUACAAAAGGCU